RNAcentral lists this ribosomal RNA (883 nucleotides) under Vibrio cholerae. RNAcentral describes it as "partial 23S ribosomal RNA". It matches the Rfam family "Bacterial large subunit ribosomal RNA", at positions 439 to 1327 of the family's 2925-position model. The record is from RNAcentral. Lineage: Bacteria; Pseudomonadati; Pseudomonadota; Gammaproteobacteria; Vibrionales; Vibrionaceae.
UGAAUAUGGGGGGACCAUCCUCCAAGGCUAAAUACUCCUGACUGACCGAUAGUGAACCAGUACCGUGAGGGAAAGGCGAAAAGAACCCCUGUGAGGGGAGUGAAAUAGAACCUGAAACCGUGUACGUACAAGCAGUAGGAGCACCUUCGUGGUGUGACUGCGUACCUUUUGUAUAAUGGGUCAGCGACUUAUAUUCAGUGGCAAGGUUAACCGUAUAGGGGAGCCGUAGCGAAAGCGAGUCUUAACUGGGCGCUCAGUCUCUGGAUAUAGACCCGAAACCGGGUGAUCUAGCCAUGGGCAGGUUGAAGGUUGAGUAACAUCAACUGGAGGACCGAACCGACUAAUGUUGAAAAAUUAGCGGAUGACUUGUGGCUAGGGGUGAAAGGCCAAUCAAACUCGGAGAUAGCUGGUUCUCCCCGAAAGCUAUUUAGGUAGCGCCUCGGACGAAUACUACUGGGGGUAGAGCACUGUUAAGGCUAGGGGGUCAUCCCGACUUACCAACCCUUUGCAAACUCCGAAUACCAGUAAGUACUAUCCGGGAGACACACGGCGGGUGCUAACGUCCGUCGUGGAGAGGGAAACAACCCAGACCGCCAGCUAAGGUCCCAAAGUAUUGCUAAGUGGGAAACGAUGUGGGAAGGCUCAGACAGCUAGGAUGUUGGCUUAGAAGCAGCCAUCAUUUAAAGAAAGCGUAAUAGCUCACUAGUCGAGUCGGCCUGCGCGGAAGAUGUAACGGGGCUAAGCAAUACACCGAAGCUGCGGCAAUGUCUUUUAGACAUUGGGUAGGGGAGCGUUCUGUAAGCCGUUGAAGGUGAAUCGUAAGGUUUGCUGGAGGUAUCAGAAGUGCGAAUGCUGACAUGAGUAACGACAAAGGGGGUGAAAA